AUGUUGAAGGUGAGGCAGAGUUUCCUCAUUCCAGUGCCAGUCAAAGACAUGGCAAGAAGCUUCCUGCACUGGGAGCUUACACUGUAUGAAGACAAAAACAGGAAGAGUUUUUAGGUAAAGGAAAUAUUACUACACAGUUUCUGAGGCAAAAACCUUAGGCAAAAAAGGAACAAUUAUUUGCUCAAAGCUACCAGAGGUUGUAGUGUUCUGAGGAACUGUGCUCACUGCUCCUGGACAAGGCAACUGAGAAUUUUUCUGCUCCAAUUUGCUUAGGGUAAUAUUUAACAUUGCACAUGGCAGAAUACGAAUGCACAUAAUAACAAAUCAAAGUAGUUCAUAUCAGCAGGUGGUUUAUAUGUACAUAUAGAGUGUAGGUGUCUCCCAUCAUGCAAGCGAAAAAAGCUGACCAGAUGGAUAACCUGGAUCAAACUUUUAGGUACUGGGACAGAAACAGGGAAGAGAGGAAUCAACUUUACUGGCAAAAAGAGAUUAUGAGGAUUUAGAUGAAGUCCUAAGACAGCCUUGCUCACCUGACCACAGCUACUGCUGGGGUGAAGGCAGCACAGAAUAGGUCUAUUUAAAAUAUUCUUAUGCUUCUGACAGAGACCAUGUUAUGUUGAUAGAAUAGGCAUGCUAUAACAAUUGCAAAAAUUAUAUGAACUGGACAGAAGACCAUCAUUUCAGGAAGAUGAGAACUAUCACUGGGAGACCUUAGACUUGAUGUGCUGAAAGAGUGAAAUGAUAUAGCGAAACAAUGGAGGAGUUUCAGGAAGGUGUUUGUCUUCCACAUGGCUGACGGCUGAAUUCUGUUCAAAAAGCAUGAUUAAGGCUGCAAUAGGUACAAAGCCAAGUUUCCCCUUGGAUUCUCCCUCCUGCUGUGCCUCAUGUGGCUGGCAGAGUUCUGCCAUUGUGGAACAGAGAUUGCUGGAAAUAAAUUCUUCUUAAGCAGACAGGCUUUUGUUCAGUUUUGACUCCAGGCUCCCAGCCCAAAGUCUUGAGCAAUCUGCACUGGGAAAGCUCUGUGCAUCCGUGGUAAGGCUCUUUUUUAGAGGCUUCUAAUCUGAGGAAUUUGUGGCAAAGAGAACCAUUUUCUGAAAGGCUGCGUUCUGGGCAGAUCUUCAUUAUCAGCCUUGUCCUAGCAUAUUCUCUGAGAUUUCCAUCAUCUUAGGCUUUGGAUUUAGAUGCAGAUAAGCUCAUUUUUAGGUUUCCAUACCUGCAUUUAUGUGAACUAGUUGCAGAACAAAUCAAGGAGGCAUACAGUACUCUUGUACCUCUUGCCUAUUAAUUAAUUCUUCACAUUUUUCUAUACAAGUGGGUGAAAGAAAUGCUGUGUGCACACAUUUUUCUCUUUCUGAAAAAGAAACACAAGAUUCAACAGCUUAUUUUCUGUCACAGCCACAACUUCAUUCAUCAUGUGAAAUCUCAGGUUGCUCUGUGCUCUAAAAUAGUCAGCAUGUUACUCAUCUUCUUGCGAGCGAAUAAUUUUGUGGGGUUUCCUCCUCCUUUCCUAUUUCUCUUGUUAUUACUUCCAGAUGACAGUGUCUGUAAUGUUGUUGUACAACUCUACAAACCGAGGCACUUUUUAGAACCAAGAUUUUUUGGACACACUCAGAUCAGCAUGAUGUUUGUGAAACAUUUUAUGUAACUGUCCAAAGAGCGUCCCUCUCUCAUUUUCUUAGUGACAAUGGUAGACAACCCUUCAGUCUGUCAGCAGUUAGAAGCCAUCAUCUCUCACCCAAAUUUUGAGCAUUUCUAGCCAGUCUUCACCUGCCAGCUAUAUUUGUUGAAUGCUUGGUGAAUCAUAUAAAAAUUGUAUAAGCCUGAAUUCAUCUGCAAUAUGCACUUUACAGACCCUUCACUUCUUUUACAGCUAAAAGGAGAAGAAUGAUUGUAAAGAGUUGCCAUUUUUCUUCAUCUGAUUGUAAGUCCUAAAUGCACAUUCAUGUGGCUGUAUCCUGUUCUACAGAAUGGCAAGGCAAUUUUACAAUUGCUGUGAGCUCCUAGGUAGCAGGUUCUGCUGUUCUUAUUUUCAAUCACACCUAAGGUGUUUGAUUUUUCCCUUAAUCUGCUUUUCCUAUUCUCAUUCCACCUCAAGCAAUUCAUUUAAUUCUCUUUCCUGUGUUAUCUACACAUGACACUACUACGUGGGGUUUUUUUCCUGGAUUUAUUUAAUGGAUGAUCUUGUCCUAGAUUUCACCUGUGACAAAUUGCCAUAUCCAGGCUUGGACUCCUAUUUUUAAACACCUUGACAAUAUAUUGCUUUUCUAGAUAUGUCCAUUUUCUGAAAGCAAGCCUGAAGGUACCGGUAAGUCAAACAUCUUAAAAGCAACAGAGCAUACAGAACAAAUGAGAAAAGCCACAAAACAAAAUCCCAGCUGAUUCAAAGCAUAUCUGAUUAUUUUUCUUUCCAAGAUACUAAUAACACUGCUGCUGUAUUGGCUAUAUCUAAGAUGAAAUGUGGAAACUCGCAUUGGAUUGGAAUAUUGAAGAUACCCAAGAUACUGAUGUUUGUCUGACACAUUUUAAUACUCCGUAUCUCGUGUUCUUUUAUCCAGGAUUAAGAGAGAUGAGGUUUGAACAAACAUACUACACUUGGGUAGUCACAUAGUGUACCAGAUUGGUAUACUUAUUCACUCACAUGAAAUUCUGUAUUGCAUCCCUCAGGGAAAUACUAAGAGUAGCAUAUUUAUUAGAGAGACAGUCAUCCUAAAAAUUUAUUUGUUCAAUUGACGGCUGCUUAAAUACUUAUAAUGUAUAAUAAUUUAUAAUUAAUGCUUAAACACUUCUGUCACGCUGUCAUGCUGGUUACAGCAUGACAGAAGGUAACAGACCAACGUAUUCAU
Pezoporus occidentalis (night parrot) is the source of this 2843-nucleotide long non-coding RNA. RefSeq lists it as uncharacterized. The transcript has 3 exons. The record is from RefSeq and is a predicted model, not a curated record. Lineage: Eukaryota; Metazoa; Chordata; Aves; Psittaciformes; Psittacidae.